UGAUGUUCGGCUGUGAAAAGCAUGCAGCACCACACUGCAGUUCCUUGUAUCUGUCCAUUGUAGACUCAUUCAAGAUUUAUUGGAAGAGAAAAACUUUGCAACGAUGGAAGAUAUAUGAAGGUGAAUGUAGACUUCAUCUUUGCUCGAUAUACAUCAUGUUUUCUUGCUGACAAAGUUAUAUGUUCGAGUGGUUUCCUUCUCAUGGAUCUACUUGAAAGAUCUGAUGGGUUUUAUUCAAACAUAUGGACCAUGGUUAGCCAUGGUUUUUAUCACAAGUCAUUUUUCUGGUGCUAAUCUCAUGAAUAUGCCAUAGUUUGUGUGGCCAGACAAGUGCAUAUAUUUUUGAGGUGUGGAUUAUUCUCUUUACUUUUCCAUACAAAUUUUGUAACUUUUUUUUU
Molecule: non-coding RNA, 398 nt
Organism: Arachis ipaensis
Lineage: Eukaryota; Viridiplantae; Streptophyta; Magnoliopsida; Fabales; Fabaceae
Source: RefSeq, a predicted model, not a curated record